RNAcentral lists this long non-coding RNA (40018 nucleotides) under Setaria viridis. RNAcentral describes it as "long non-coding RNA (SVIR_LNC008102)". Lineage: Eukaryota; Viridiplantae; Streptophyta; Magnoliopsida; Poales; Poaceae. The record is from RNAcentral.
UUGUACCGAUGUCGUGGAGGACCUCCGUGUCACCGUCCCUGAGGAAGAGCCUGGCGGGCUGCGUGGUGUUGUUGCAGAUGAGCUCGAAGUCGGGGUCCCGGAAGCAGCCAGCGCCGAUGCCGAAUGGGUACGUGAAGCUCAGGUUGCCGCACGUCUUGGAACAGCCUGCAAGCGAAGCCGUAGAGGGAAUGGUCCCUCUGCUGGAUCCUUGCGACGCUGCAGACACAAGUAGAAGCAGAGCAGCCAGCAGCAGUGCAUCAAGAGCAAGGAGGCCCAUCAUGGCCCCGUCUACGAAGCAACAGCUCACUGGCGACUAAAAGUGAUCGAUGUGGUUGAUGCCUUGAUGAUGCUCACGUAACUGUCGAACCGGAAUUUAUAAGUCUCCCAAGAACACAGCUGUGCAGGAUAACCUUUUUCUUGUCUAGUGUCAAGGAAUUAGGAAGGGAACGGUCGAAUGAAUGUGUCUACAUCGAUAGAUUGUAUAAAACAAAUAUAAAUCUUAUCUUUCUUGGCUCAUACACUGCAUGAAUUUAGUAAUUUGCCAUGUGGCACGCAUUCGUGCACUUGGAUGCUUGGUCUGGUCUGAUAUGUCGUCAUGGUCGGUGCAGGAUUAGAAGAUGCUUAACUCAGGUCAACCGUCAACUACUUGCAGGACUAUUCUACUGCUGCGGCAGAAGCUUACUCGCUGCUGAAUAAAUCCAUGGCCCCUGCCUGUCAUCUUUAUUGUUCUGUACGUCAACAACAACUCCUAUUACACGCUGCUUUGAUGAAUUCCCGGUCUACUAUGAUACUCAAAGUAACACUGCUUCGAAAUUUCCCAAAGCACUAGGAUAACCAAGGCACACUGCUACCGAAUUUUUCGUAGUAGAGCACUAGCUAGGAUAAUCAAGACAUGGCAAUCAAAGCAGUUGGAUGCUUGCAGCCUGGUCUGCUAUGUCGUCACUGCUCAUCCUAACACAACAAAAAACUAAUCGCCAUGAACCUUUGAAAGUCAUGCCUUUUGGGACCUACUACAGGUUUCUUUACCAAGAUAUAAAAACUGCAGCCUUCGUUGAAAAAAAUGACCACGCAUGUCCCAGGCAGACGGAUUAAGAAGUACUCACUCCGGUCCAAAACUAAGUUUAUUCAAGUUUGGAGGUCUAAUAUUUUUAAUUGUUGCCAUAAAGAGUUUAUAAAUCACAUAGAUGAUAUAAUAAAACUGGUGUCCCACUAUAUUUAUUAUAUGAAACACUUACUAUAUACAACAUUUUUUACAAAAAUACCAUAAACUUUUAUAAAUGUUAUUAGUCAAUAUAUCAUAUAUACCAGAGAGGCAGAGACUGCAUCAAUGUUCUGAUUGACUCCAAUUGAGAUACGAGGGAGUAGGAAAACAGUUGCCGAGGCUUGGAAGUUCCAAACUAAUAAUGUUCCAAACUAAAGGACAAGGCUGGUUGGUAGGGUUAGUAUUUGGGGAGGUAACUUGAUGUUGUGUGGGAGCUGUGUAUAAAGGGUAUGUGGCUUAGCCACUAUUUGUGAUCCCACCAUAAGAUGAAUAAUGGGACAUCCAUAGCAAAUAGGAGUGGAGGAUGUCAAGCUUCCAUCGGUGAUGGGCUUUGAGACUUUGAUAUGUACCUUUAAUUUCUUAGACCGGAAGUACUCAGCCCUAGAAUCUGAACUAGAACAGUACCUGGAUGUAUCCUUCACUCCACGUAUCUAGUAGUUUAAUAUUUUCAACUGGUGGAAGCUUAAUGCAGUUAAGUUUCCAACCCUCUCUAAAUUGGCCCGAGAUAUCUUUGCCAUUCCUAUGUCCAUGGUGAGCAGUUGCAGCUACAUACUCUCUGUUGGAAUAGGAACGAAGUCACAUGCUAUAAGAUUACAGAACCUCUCUUCCUCCUUGGAUCGUGGACACACUUUUGUGUUUGCUAAACACUUGCUCCAAUACUCACCAUCAGCCAACGAGUUGCCAAGUUCUGCAAUAGUUAAGGCCAAGGAUCAUAAGUCACUUCUUCUCUAAGCAUGUCUGAAACUGCUUGGAAUGAAAUGUGAACGAGAUACAUUCUGCGAUCUUCAACUAUUGUGAUGGAUCCAUGAAGCCUGUAACACAAGAUCGAUGCAACCCAUGGACCAUCCUACGCAAAAAAAAACCUAGAAACCAUAACCAAUUUCACAAAUCGAACAUUUUCCUUAAACCUUAAAGAAAUGCAUGAGAGACGCACCCACGUUAACGGUGCUGACUUGUGGCGUGUGGGAAGAUGAGUCCACUGAAUCCUGAGACCCGGAAGGUCCACCACUCCCACACAGGUGCGAUGACCCCUAUCUCGAUAUAAAAACUUCUGUCACCGGUGACCGAAGUCUUGGGGCUAGCCUGCUAGGGCUCCAGCUAUCACUGCCAAUCCUCUUGGCGGAACUUCCUUCAUAAGUGCCCAUCACCGCCCAUCUCCAAUACACACAACGAGCAAACCGAUCCCUUUUCUCGGAAGAGGAUAUUGCGGUGAAAAGGACAAGGCUGGUUGGUAGGGUUAGUAUUCAGGGCUGUAACUUGAUGUUGUGUGUGAGAUCAGUAUAGGGGGUAUGUGGCUCAGCCACUAUCUGUGAUCCCACCCUAAGUUGAAUAUUGGGCCCUCCAUUGCAAAUUGGAGUGAAGGAUGUCCAGCUUCCACGGGUGAUGAGCUUCUAGACUUCGAUAUGUACGAUUCAUUUCUUGGAUUGGAAGUAUCCCUAAAAAUCUGAACUGGAGCAGUACAUGGAUGAAUCCUUCACUUCACGUAUCAAGGAGAUAAAUAUUUUGAACUGGUGGAGUCUUAAUGCAAUCAAGUUCCAACCUUCUCUAAAUUGGCCCAAGAUAUCUUGGCCAUUCCUAUGUCCAUGGUGAGCAGUUGCAGCUACAUAUUCUGUAUUGGAAUAGGGACGAAGUCACAUGCUAGAUGAUUGUAGAAGCUCUCCUUCUCCUGGGAUCAUGGAGACAAUAGUUUUGUGUGUGCUAAACACUUUUGCACUGGCCAAGGUCUCAAGGAUCUAAGAUUAUUGUGGUCAGUGCUUCCUUUGUGAAACAUGAAUGCUAUUAAUUUAUCUAUUGUCUAUGAGUUUAGUUAAGUGUAGAUAGGUGAUAGGACGAAAUUGCGACCUAUUCCGGUAUUUAUCUGGUAGGAGCACUUUUGUUUACAUAAACACACUACCAGGAAAAUGACUUUCCAUCCCCCACAUAGAUACCGGGUCCAAAUUUCAUAGCCGUUGGAGGCCUUUUAGUGUACCUGGUGGUGUUACCACACGAUACUAAUGCUUCUUGAGGUACUAAAAGUCAUCUUUAGUACUAGUUGGCAUUACCACUCAGUACUAAAAUGUUCUCCACGGGUUACUUCAAAAGGAAAGCAUCUUUUACCCAGUGACAUGUGCUGUGUAGGUGAGAUAAUAAGGAAUGUUAUGUGAGACAAGAGUUCCCAAUAUUGAACCCCACACUCUGCGCACAUGCAUAUUUUGCUUGAAAAUUUGCGUGACUCGUGACAUGUGCCGUGUGUGAGCCUCCCCGGGAUUUUAAAUUUUUUUCGACCUUUUAGUACCAGUUGGAGUUAGAUGUUACCAAUUACGAAUCCGGUACAAAAUAGGGGUUUGGAAUCGGUACUAAAUGUCGACUCUCUAGUAGUGACAAUAACAUCCAUGUGUUCAUUCUAACGUGAGUCAUGCUUAUUUUGCCGAUCAUAAAAUAUGUUUAUAACACACUAUCAGAUGGCGGCACGUUCCUGACGGCCAAAAACCAUAAGGAAAGCCCCGAAAACUGCUAGGAAUAUGAUUCCCAAUGACCGUUAGGACACGGCCAACAGGAGCAGCUAGACAGGAAAGACACUGUUUCCCUGAUGGUUGGCCGACAGGAAAUAAUUCCUGACGGUAGUUCACAAAGGUUUAGAGCCCACCAGUCAACCGCGUCUCACGUCAUAUUUACCAUCAGGAACAUACCCCGACAGGAGUUACCUUUGUUUUUUCUGACAUAUCAUAAGUCAGAAACUUGGAACAUACCCGGACAGGAGUCAACCCGUUGGCAGCAACAUGUACAUAAGAAAACAAAAGAAACAGUAAGGUAUUGCAUCUGCUUACUUGGUUGGGCAUAAAGGUUUGUUGCAUCUCUGCAGGUAUUUCCAUUUCAAACUUGUAAUAAAGUGCCUGCAAAGAAGACGAAGUACCUCAAAAAGAAAAAGAAGAGGUAGACAAAGUAUGUAAAUGGCCUUAUCAUAGAACCACGUAAAUAGCACAUUUAAGAGAAGCAAUGAAUUGCAUGAAACCAUUUGCCUUGUCUGGCAUCUGUUUAGAGCAAUGCUGGAAACAAACCAAAAUGAAAUGACUCUCCGUAGUCUAGAAAUUGACAUUCUUGUUACUACCUAGCUACAUGUACAUUACUAAAAUGUGCAGUGCUUUCUUCAUAGAAAAAGAAUAAAGAAGCAGCAUCCUAAAGUCAUAAAUCGACAAGAGAAUAAAAAUCACCACUGCAAAAAUUCUCUGAAUAAAUUACCUUCCUUAUAUGUAAAAUGUUCCUGUAUCUAAUUGCAUUAUAAAAACUCCUAGCUGAGUGAAAAAAGGAAGAAUAAACAAUUAAAUGCACUAGCAAUCAAAUUGAUAAAUUAAGUCUUUCCUACAAUCUGAACCCAAAGCAUACAUGCUAUGCCGAUGACACUAGUUGCCGACUUAAUAUGAGAAAAGGAUAAAUAUUUUGGUAGUUGCAAUCUUUUCACAGAACAUAUUGAAUUUUGUAAUCAUGAUACAGAUCACUCAAUUACUAACCCAAAGAUCACUACAAAAUGUCUUAGGUUUCAGUUAUGGUGAGACUGCAGAUCCCUGCUUGCUGCUGCCUCAGUACUUGCAAAACAUAAAUGGUACCAUAUCGCAUUCAAGCCUGUAUUGUCAACUGCUGCCUCAGCACUUGCAAAACAGGAAAAUAAACAAGAAACAAAAUUAUCCAUCGGUACUGUGAACUGACCUUAGAAUUUUGGCCGACCUCAUGAUUUUUGGUUGAACGGUGACCUCCCUCCUUUGCCUAUUGCGGAUUUCUCCCUUUGAGCCUCUUCUGGAUCUCCCCGUGAGAUUCUUGUGGAUCUCUCCAUCUGACUCUGAUCCCCUUUUGCAUCUCACCGUGCGCCUCUUGUGGAUGUCCCUUGCACCUCUUAUUAAUCUCAAUGUGGAAACAACGGCGUGUGGGGCAUCGCUGUGUUGGGAUGCGACAACGCAUGGGGGUGGCGGUCAGGGAUGCCCUUGAUGGGUGGCGGUGACGCCGGUGGGAUGAGGCUGCAGCGACAAUGGUGGGAUGAGGUGGCGGGUGGAUGGAUCGAACACAAAUGCAUGGGGCGGCGACGGAGUGGGUAUGGUAGCGGGGGACUGAGGGGUAGGUGGGGGAGGCGAUUAGGGUUGGGAGGGGAUAAGGCUCCAGCUACUAUGCAUCGCAGGAUGGAUUGGAGCCUUGGAGGCAAUAUUUUACAAACCAGUGGUCAGAUGUGGGCCCAAAAAAAGCUGACAUGGCAUUUUUUUCUUCGAUUCUUGGAGUUGCGAUUUUUUCUCACCCGCUACCGGUUUUCCCAUGCAGCUGGGGCCUGAAAUCGGGGCUUCUUAGGAAAUCCCGUCAGUUUCACACGAUCGUCAGGAACUACACAUUUAUUCAUGUCGGUAUUUCAGGUUCAUGAGGGUUUCUACAAACCGAAAGAAGAAAAUGUAGUAUUUCCCAUCAGUUUUGCUCGGCUGAUGACAGGAAAGAGGUCUGGCUCCAAGCAGUUCUCAAAAAACCGACGGGAACCUCCUGUUUUCUGGUAGUGACAGGAAAUGAUCCUUUCGUGAAGGAUCAUUCCAUAUCUGCGCUUUGAUCAUGCUUAAUCUUCUGUGCCGCAUACACUGAAUAUUAUAUUUGUGAAAUGUUUACGUGGUGAAGCAAGUGAUUAGUUUUGUAGUACCAUCCACCAGUUGGUUUAGUUCAGUCUACUAUUUUUGUUUGUCUAUAAUGUCGCACGUUACACGUUCUUCAACAUAGCAGCCCCUCUCCCGUCAAGGCCUAAGGUCGUGUUUGUGUUAGCUACAGCUUUUGAGCUUUUCUAAAAAGCUGGUGCUCGCUUUUUGUCUUGAAAAGCCAACACUAGCUUUUAGAAGAUGUGAUUAGCUUUCUGAGCUCAAAAAGCUACGAAAAGCUGGUAAAACUAAGCUUUUCAGGGUUUUUAUAUAUAUAAAGUUAGCUUUUCUGAGCUUGCAGCUUUUUGGAAGCUACACGAAAAGUUCGCUGUUUGUUUGAGCUUCUGGCUUUCCAUGCUAAAAACCUUGGAUACCUAGGUCACGAGCGGUGUCGAGGACCACAAAGUCCACGGGGGACAAUAGAACCUUGGAUUCUUCUGGGAGGUUUUCUACCAUCCCUUUGGGCACUACUAGAAAAAUCACCUCUCGUUCCGAGGCUUACCACUGGUCAACUUACUAAUGUUAGCAUUAGUACCGGGCCUAACGGAUAGUCCUCGAGUAGCCCCCCGUGACCCCCUUUAGUACCGAGUGGAGCCUCCACCCGGUACUAAAGGCCCUAAGGCACAUUAGUACUGGGUGGGGGCUCCACCUGGUACUAAAGGCCCUAAGGCACAUUAGUACUGGGUAGGAUUCCCACCUAGUACUAAAUCUCCCCACCCCCCGCGCGCGCACUGCCUCCUCCUUAUCCGUUAACUCCUCCUCCUCGUUAUCCCUUCCUCCUCUACACACUGCCUCCUUCCUCCCUCUAUCUCUCUCACAUCUCCCCAUCCUCCUCUACUGUCUGCCCUCCCCUCCCCUCUCCGCUCACCUCUCACCAACGGUGAGGAGCAGCGGCGGGGCGAGGUGAGGUGGUGGCGGCGUCAGCGGGUGGCGGGGCGGGGCGGAGCAGAGGUGCGGAGGCGGAGUGGUGGGCGAGGUGGAGCGGCGGGGCAGGGUGGGAUGGCGGGGCUGGCGGCGGAGGGCGAUAGGCGGGCGACGGUGGGUGGGAGGUGGAGCUGAGGUGGCGGGCGGGGCGAGGCAGCGACGGCGAGUGGGUGACGGGCAGGAGGCAGAGUGGAGGUGGAGGUGGGGCGAGGCGGCGACGAUAGGCGGCAGGAGGGGCGGCGGGGUGAAGGGUGGCAGGUAGGACGGAGGCAGAGGUGGAGACGGAGCGGGCCGGCGGGUGGCGGGGCUGGUGGCGGAGGGUGGCAGGACUGGCAGCGGAGGGGGCCAGCAGGGCGGGGUGGGCUAUUAAGGGCGACGGUGGCGGGGCGACAGGGCCGGGCGGCGAAGGGUGGUGGGGUGGCGGGGGUAGGCAGCGGAGGGGGCCGGUGGUAGGGGGAGCAAGGCCAGCGGGAUUUCAUUUUUUUUAAUUUUUUAAUACCCUUUAGAACCGGUUAUCUCAACCGAUACUAAAGGACCCCCCAUAAUACUGAUUUGCUAGUACCGGUUGCACAACCGGUACUAGAUGGGGUUCCUAACAGGUACUAGAGGCGUUUUCUCUAGUAGUGGGGGUAGUGAAUCAUUGAAUGGGCCAGCUGCAGACGUAUCAUGGUAUGGGAAAGACUGGGGUAGUUAUUGUGUCAAAGAUAACCUUGGGCAGGAUGUUGACACUUGCACCAAGGUCGCAGAGGGCUUGAUCAACGUGGAAGUCCUACAUUGAGCAGCUGAUCGCCAGGUACCCUAGUUCUUCGUUCUUGACUGCUAGUUCCUUCCAUGAGUUUCUUCAUCGAUGCCUCGGUCUUCCUGCAUGGUUAGUAGCGGGCAGGUUCUGAAAUAGGUUACCCCAUCUAACAGAGACUGCACUAUCAUUCUCUGGUUGCCCCGCGAUUAUCUGAGUUCAGAAAUGGGAACAUCAUCAGCAAUUUGAGCUAAUUGUGUCUCUAUCAUUUUAUUUAAGCUCACUUGAUUUUUAAAAGCUAAGGAAAGACUUUCAAUUUUAACAUUGAUGGUUUCCAAAGUUUUAUCAUUGGCAGCAAGCCUUUUAGAAAAGGAUUCAUUGAUUUUUUUUUCUUGGCCAAAAACAAGAUCUUUUAGGGAAGGUUGGUUUGAGUUGUAAUUCGAAUUGUAAUUACCAUUAUUGUUACCUCCCUGAUAUGGUGGGCGCGACUGGUUCCACCCUUGACCUCCUUGUGGACGGUACCCGUUGUUGUUGUUGUUGUUCAUGUAGGCGACAUCUUCAUGGGUCUCGAGGCAGCCGUUCCCCGAGUGUCCUCCAUUUCCGUAGACCUUACACGUGAGGUACGAGUCCAAGGCUUGAACAAGUUUGAGCAUGAGUCCUUGGGUCUUCUCCAAUUCGCCCAUGCGCUUGAGCAGAAGAUCUAGCUUAGUGGCUAGCAUGCCCAUUUCCUUGACGGUGUGCCUGCCCCGCGUACGAGAUCUGUUGUACUGAUCUGUUGUGUUGUUCAUCAUAGUAAGAAAUAGGGAAAGGCACUCACAAUGGCAUCCUUCGCUUGCUCAUUAAAACCUGACUUGCUGCUGCAGUGGGUGUCCUUUAAAAUAUCAAUCGCAGUUGGUGGCGCAUCCUUAAAUUAGGUUUGCUUGUGAAAUUACAUACAAACAGAAAAGUAAAUAACUGAAAGCAUGUGAAGAGUUAUUUGUAGCAGCAGGAUAGUAGCAGCAACACAGUUAAUAACAAAAAAGUAAAUUACAUACAGCAGACAGUAUUUUCCAUGCAAUAAGCACCAUUUCUGGACACAUACAACCUCUAGUAUCAACUAAAAAUCACAAAAGUUUGUAAAGAUGCAGUGAUUUAUCUUACCAUGACAUAGCAUUGAGCAACAUAGCUCCGAGAUCAUGUCAUCUGGUGGUACUGAACUAGCUCACAACUAUCUUUGUUUUUCAGACAUUUUUCCUAUAGAAAGACAAACAUUAGGGGACAGACAAUCCAUAUAUUCUGUAAGGCAACAAUUUUGAUAGAUAUUAAGGAAGGGUACCUUGUGCUUUGGGUUAGACCACAUGUCCACGAGUUGUUUCCACUUCAUAUCAGUCAUAGUGGACAGAGGUGAAGUUGUUCUCACUACAUUUGCUGGUAUGCCAUUGAAGUAUUGCUUCUUCAGCUUGUAUCUCAUCUGCCGCUGUCCUUUUUUGAGCAAAUCAGAAAAUGCAUCUUUCACCAGGACAACAUCUUUGUUAAUGGUGAAUUGACUCUAGACAAGAGCAUGCACAUAUCGUUAAACGUCAUUCACAUGAUGUUCUGGGAGUGUGCGGCAGUGGCAGUGGUAGCAACAGCAAGCAGUAUAAACAAGUGUCAACUCUAGAUUAUGCAGCACUAUAUGAUAGAAUAAUUUGAAUAUAGAGAUAGACAAAGUCUAUGAUCAGCAAGAAAAAAUACACAACUUUCUCUGGCUUCUCACGGUUUUCAACAUUGCCAUCAAACACCUUGCUCCUCCUCCAUGGAUGGUCCGUAGGAAGGAAACGCCGAUGGCCAAUGUAACAUAUCUUAUUCCUUAUCCUUUUGGAGCAAGGGUUUUUGUCACAAUGCACACAAGCAUAAUAACCUAUUGUGACUCUACCAGACAAUGUGCUCAAAGCAGGAUAAUCAUGAAUGCACCAUAUUAUAGCAACAUGUAAAUCAAACUUCUUCACUAAGUGCAUCAACAGUAGGGACGCCUUUCCAGUGGAGGGGAUGGAGAACUCAUGAAGAGUCUUCUCGGCCAUAGCCUUAGGAGCGAAUGGUGCUGGAAUGACGGGUUUGGUUGCCGAAAGAACAAUCUAAGCAGGGACGACUCGACGUCGUACCCUUUUCACAAGAUGUUCCGGGUACUCGACGAAGUUGGUCAGCAAGUCGAAACCGGUCAUACACUACCCUAUUUGCAUCCAUCAGGAGAAAACAAAGACAAGUUAGCUUGUAUAAGCAAUGGUUAUACCUUAGUCAUAGAGCCAAGAACAUGUAUUGAUAAAUCUUUUAACCAUUGCCAUCCCUAGCAACUGUUGGAGGUAUGCCCUAGAGGCAAUCAUAGAGAUGAUGAUAUUCCAUUUGUAUCCAUGAUUUGUAUGUUGUGUUCAUUGAAUAUCCAUUGAAGGCUACUUGAAUUGAUUUGCAAUUAUGUGAAUUGUAUGUGAAACUCUUUACUUGUAUGGUUAUUCUAAAGUUGUCCCUAGUCGGGGUUCAUGUGAGGACACACAUGAAUAUUAGACUAGCACAUGUAUUAGUUGAUGACUAUGUUUCACAAGUCAUGGACAUGGAGAUGUUGAACUAAUAAUGUGGACACAUGUGGAGACAUGUGCUAGGACUGACCCAACACGAGAAGUAGUUCUCUCUUUAAACAACAUAUACGCUUUGUCCAUAGACCUGAGAUUGUCGCAUGUAUUCUAGAUGUGGAUCGACCUACUUAGGGGCUAUCAAACGCUACGCCGUAACAGGGUAGUUAUAAAGGUAGCUUUCGGGUUUGUCAAGAAGCAUGCUAUGAGACAUGGUCAAUCAAGAUGGGAUUUGCCCCUCUCUGAUUGAGAGUGAUAUCUCUGGGCCCCUCGAGUGAUCGGAUCCGAAAAUGCAUGGCCAUGCUACGUACGGUUAAGAGUUAACCUACAAAGGGAUUCCGAAUCACAGGAUCGAGAAAGAGCGGUCGGCUUGAAGCUAAACCAAAUAUCGUGAGGCAAAGGGAAUAGCAUGUAUAUUAUGUUGUGAUGGUUCGUCUGAUAUGAUCUUCGUGUGCGUAUAGGAGUUGGCACGUCUUGCUAGAGGCCGCUACCGACUAUUGGGCCGAGUAGGAGUACUCGGGCCAUGUCUAUACGUAUCCGAACCCAUAGGGUCACACACUUAAGGGGCUGGAAGCCCAAUUCGGAUCUGAUCCGAGUUGGAUUAGGUUUAGGAGUACUGAUGGGCCUCGGAUCCAGAGGCCCAUCAGGAACCUCUAUAAAUAGAGGGGUGGGGGCGCCCUAGGGUUUACACCUUUUUGGCGAAACACACCUGACGCGCCUCCCACGCCCUCGCCUGUUGCAACUCGCGGAUCUAGCAAUCCGGCUUGCGACGCUUCCUCCCUGCACGUGUGGAUACCUUGGAGGUGUUGCGCCUGCAGCACUUGGAUGAGUCGCCGAUGAGCCACGACGAGCCGACGACGAGCCGCGGUACCGGAGGCGAUCUUGCUGUGCACGUGGACGAGCUGCUGAGGAGCUGCUGGACGUGAUCGACUACGUACGACUACGUUGAUCGACUACGUACGACUACGUGAUCGUCUUCACUGCAUCGACGCAUAUCUACAUCUUCCGCACCAGUAGUGCGUCGAGUGGUAAUCCCGUGAUCCUUAUACGGCAGUUCUUCCUGGUUAUACGCGGUAGAAAUUUUGAUUUGCGCUAGUGUAGCCUACCUCGUAUCCCGACACAUGCUACGUACGGUUAAGAGUUAACCUACAAAGGGAUUCCGAAUCACAGGAUCGAGAAAGAGCGGUCGGCUUGAAGCUAGACCGAAUAUCGUGAGGCAAAGGGAAUAGCAUGUAUAUUAUGUUGUGAUGGUUCGUCUGAUAUGAUCUUCGUGUGCGUAUAGGAGUUGGCACGUCUUGCUAGAGGCCGCUACCGACUAUUGGGCCGAGUAGGAGUACUCAGGCCAUGUCUAUACGUAUCCGAAGCCAUAGGGUCACACACUUAAGGGGCUGGAAGCCCAAUUCGGAUGUGAUCCGAGUUGGAUUAGGUUUAGAAGUACUAAUGGGCCUCGGACCCAGAGGCCCGUUAGGAACCUCUAUAAAUAGAGAGGUGGGGGCGCCCUAGGGUUUACACCUUUUGGCGAAACACACCUGCCGCGCCUCCCACGCCCUCGCCUGUUGCAACUCGCGGAUCUAGUAGUCCGGCUUGCGACGCUUCCUCCCUGCACGUGUGGAUACCUUGGAGGUGUUGCGCCUGCAGCACUUGGACGAGCCGCCGACGAGCCACGACGAGCCGACAACGAGCCGCGGCACCGGAGGCGAUCUUGCUGCACGUGGACGAGCUGCUGAGGAGCUGCUGGACGUGGACGUGAUCGACUACGUACGACUACGUUGAUCGACUACGUACGACUACGUGAUCGUCUUCACUGUAUCGACGCAUAUCUACAUCUUCCGCACCAGUAGUGCGUCGAGUGGUAAUCCCGUGAUCCUUAUACGGCAGUUCUUCCUGGUUAUACGCGGUAGAUUUUGAAUUGCGCUAGGGUAGCCUACCUCGUAUCCCAACAGUGGUAUCAGAGCCGUAGCUGCUUAGUUUUGGAUUCGGGAUGUGUGCAUAUGGAGAUAUGCGAGUUUCAAUAGAGGGAUAUUGAUUUUAGUGGGAGUAGAUUCUGUUAAAAUAGUUUAAUGUGAUUUGCUCUAUCAUGGAUACGUUUGUCUUAGUGUAUUUUGCAUUACUUUGUUGUAGAUUAAAUGGCACCUAGCAGCACUACACCGUUUGCUUUGCGUUCGGUCCUUGAGAAGGACAAGUUGAAUGGAACAAAUUACUCGGAUUGGAUCCAUAACCUGAGAAUUGUUCUCAGGGCUGAGAAAAAGGAAGAUGUUCUAGACAACCCACUACCAGAAGAACCUGCUGAUGAUGCACCCGCUGCUGCUAAGAAUGCUUACAAGAAAGCAUGUGAUGCUAACCUCGAAGUAAGCUGCCUUAUGCUUGCUUGCAUGGAACCCGAGCUGCAGAUGCAGUUUGAAACAAACCAUGAGGCGCACGAUAUGAUCGUGGUGCUUAGAGACAUGUUCCAAGCACAGGCCAGGACUGAAAGGUUCAAUGUGUCUAAGGCCUUUGUUGAGAGCAAGCUAGCAGAAGGCGCAGCAGUAGGACCACACGUAAUCAAGAUGGUUGGUUACACUCAACGGUUGGAGAAGCUGGGCUUCCCACUGCGCCAAGAGUUGGCCACUGAUUUCAUUCUUUCGUCUCUUCCACCUAGCUAUGGGAACUUCAUCUCGAACUACCAUAUGCAUGGGACGGAGAAGGGUCUGAAUGAGCUGUGUGGCAUGCUUAAAACAGCAGAGGCUGACAUCAAGAAAAGCGCUAGUACCAGCCAUGUGAUGGCUAUACAUAACAAGCCUAGCUUUAAGAAGAAGGGCAAUUCUUGGAAGAAGAAGGGCAAGGCUGGAACGUCCAAGCCAAACCCACCGCCCAAGGUUAAAGCUGGACCUGGACCUGCUCCAGACAAAGAGUGCUUUUACUGUCAUGAACUUGGUCACUGGAAGAGAAACUGCAAGCAGUACCUAGCUUCCUUGAAGAAUGGCGGAAGUAAGAGUACUUCUACCUCAGGUACGCUUGUUAUUAAUGUUAUAGACAACAUAUUUCUCGCUGAUACAAUUAUUAAUUCUUGGGUAUUUGAUACCGGAUCGGUUGCUCAUAUUUGCAAUUUGAUGCAGGGAAUGAUAAGAAGUAGAAGCGUGGAAAGAGGAGAAGUUGAUUUCCACGUGGGCAAUAAUGCAAGAGUUGCUGCGUUGACCGUCGGGACGAUGCAACUCCACCUCCCGUCAGGAUUUAUUAUGGAGUUGAAUAAUUGUUAUUUUGUUCCUAGUUUAAGUCGAAACAUUUUGUCUCCUUCAUGCUUGAUGAAGGAUGGUUAUUCAUUUGCGAGUGAAAACAAUGGUUGUGUGAUCUCUAAGAAUAAUAUGUUUAUGGCUUUUGCACCCAUUGUGAAUGGAUUAUUUUUUUAAAUCUUGAUGGUUAACAUGUCUGUAACGUAAGUGCUAAAAGGCCUCGGCCUAAUGAUUUGUGUCCUACCUACUUGUGGCAUUGUCGUUUGGGUCAUAUAAGUGAAAAGCGCAUGAAGAAGCUCCAUUCUGAUGGACUUCUAACUUCAUUUGAUUUUGAAUCAUACGAGACAUGUGAGGCUUGCUUGCUAGGCAAGAUGACCAAGACGCCUUUCACAGGAUUUCCUGAGAGAGCAGUAGACUUGUUGGAACUCGUACAUAGUGAUGUAUGCGGACCAAUGAGCACGAUGGCUAGAGGAGGAUUCCAAUACUUCAUAACUUUCACUGAUGAUUUUAGUAGAUAUGGCUAUGUCUACUUGAUGAGGCACAAGUGUGAAACCUUUGAAAAGUUCAAGGAAUUUCAGUAUGAAGUUGAAAAUCAGCGUGGCAAGAAAAUUAAGGCCUUACGAUCUGAUCGUGGAGGCGAGUAUUUGAGCCACGAGUUUAACGAUCAUCUAAAGAGUUGCGUAAUUGUUCCACAACUUACGCCGCCUGGAACACCUCAGAGAAACGGUGUGUCCGAGCGACGUAAUCGAACUUUGUUAGACAUGGUUUGAUCAAUGAUGAGCCAGUCGGACCUACCGUUGUCAUUUUGGGGAUACGCUCUAGAAACAGCAGCUUUCACACUUAAUAGGGUACCACCUAAAUCCGUAGUUAAGACACCAUAUGAGAUAUGGACUGGAAAGGUUCCUAGUUUGUCUUUUCUAAAGAUUUGGGGAUGUGAAGUGUUUGUCAAGCGACUUCAGUCGGACAAGAUCACACCCAAGUCGGAUAAGUGCAUUUUCGUGGGAUAUCCAAAGGAAACUUUGGGAUAUUAUUUCUACAACCGAUCAGAAGGCAAAGUGUUUGUCGCUCGGAACGGGGUUUUCCUAGAGAAAGAGUUUCUCAAAGGAGAAAAGAGUGGAAAGACAGUGCAUCUUGAAGAAGUUCAAGAUGAGCCGAUCGGGCAAGAAUCAAUGAGUGAUGCUAACGUAGCAGAACAAGUUGAGAUACCCAUGGCAAGAGAAGCACCGCCACAACCACGAAGGUCGGCAAGGCACCGCGAAAUGCGGGAAAUAUUAUUGUUGGACAAUGAUGAGCCUGCGACAUAUGCAGAAGCAAUGAUGGACCCAGACUCCGAAAAAUGGCAGAGUGCCAUGCAAUCCGAAAUAGAGUCCAUGGGAGACAAUCAAGUUUGGAACUUGGUUGACCCGCCUGAUGGUGUUAAAGCCAUAGAGUGCAAGUGGAUCUAUAAGAAGAAAAAGGACAUGGAUGGAAAUGUUCACAUCUAUAAAGCACGACUUGUCGCAAAAGGUUUUCGACAAGUUCAAGGAGUUGACUACGAUGAGACCUUCUCGCCCGUAGUGAUGCUUAAGUCCAUUCGGAUUAUUCUAGCUAUCGCUGCAUAUUUCGAUUAUGAGAUAUGACAGAUGGAUGUCAAGACAGCUUUCCUGAAUGGAAACCUAGCUGAGGACGUGUAUAUGAUACAGCCCGAGGGUUUUGUCAAUCUGAAAAAUGCUGGAAAGGUAUGCAAGCUUCAGAGAUCCAUUUAUGGAUUGAAGCAAGCAUCUAGGAGUUGGAACAUUCAUUUUGAUGAAGUGGUCAAAGGGUUUGACUUCACCAAGAACGAAGAAGAGUCUUGUGUUUACAAGAAGGUUAGUGGGAGCUCUGUAAUAUUUCUAAUCUUAUAUGUGGAUGACAUAUUACUGAUUGGAAAUAACAUUCCUAUGCUUGAGUCCGUAAAGACUUCACUGAAAAAUAGUUUUUCGAUGAAGGACUUAGGGGAAGCGGCAUAUAUUCUGGGCAUUAAGAUCUAUAGAGAUAGAUCGAGAAGGCUUAUAGGUUUAAGCCAAGAUACUUACAUUGACAAAGUGUUGAAGCGGUUCAGCAUGGAAGAGGCAAAGAAAGGGUUCUUGCCUAUGUCACAUGGCAUACAUCUCAGCAAGACUCAGUGUCCUUCGACUGCUGAUGAGCGGGAUCGCAUGAGUAGAGUGCCAUAUGCCUCGGCUAUUGGAUCUAUCAUGUAUGCAAUGAUAAGUACUCGCCCAGAUGUUUCAUAUGCGCUAAGUAUGACAAGCAGACAUCAAUCUGAUCCAGGUGAGAGUCACUGGACAACGGUGAAAAACAUUCUUAAGUACUUGAGAAGGACUAAAGAUAUGUUCCUCGUCUAUGGAGGUGAGGAGGAGCUCGUUGUAACAGGUUACACCGAUGCUAGUUUCCAAACCGACAGAGAUGAUUCAAAGUCGCAAUCAGGAUUUGUGUUCACGCUAAAUGGUGGUGCUGUUAGUUGGAAGAGUUCCAAGCAGGAGACGGUGGCCGAUUCUACGACAGAAGCCGAGUACAUCGCGGCUUCAGAAGCCGCGAAGGAAGGUGUUUGGAUAAGGAAUUUCCUCAUUGAGCUUGGUGUGUUCCCGAAUGCGUCCAGCCCAUUGAAUCUCUACUGUGAUAAGAAUGGGACAAUUGCGCCAGCAAAGGAGCCAAGGAACCACCAGAAGAACAAACACGUAAUGCGGCAAUUUCAUCUCAUUCGAGACUUCGUUAACCGGGGUGAGAUCAAGAUAUGCAACAUACACACGGAUCUGAACAUUUCUGAUCCGUUGACAAAACCACUCCCGCAGGCUAAGCAUGAUGCGCAUGUAAGAGCUAUGGGUAUUAGGUACCUUCUAGAUUGACUCUAGUGCAAGUGAGAGACUGUUGGAGGUAUGCCCUAGAGGCAAUCAUAGAGAUGAUGAUAUUCCAUUUGUAUCCAUGAUUUGUAUGUUGUGUUCAUUGAAUAUCCAUUGAAGGCUACUUGAAUUGAUUUGCAAUUAUGUGAAUUGUAUGUGAAACUCUUUACUUGUAUGGUUAUUCUAAAGUUGUCCCUAGUCGGGGUUCAUGUGAGGACACACAUGAAUAUUAGACUAGCACAUGUAUUAGUUGAUGACUAUGUUUCACAAGUCAUGGACAUGGAGAUGUUGAACUAAUAAUGUGGACACAUGUGGAGACAUGUGCUAGGACUGACCCAACACGAGAAGUAGUUCUCUCUUUAAACAACAUAUACGCUUUGUCCAUAGAUCUGAGAUUGUCGCAUGUAUUCUAGAUGUGGAUCGACCUACUUAGGGGCUAUCAAACGCUACGCCGUAACAGGGUAGUUAUAAAGGUAGCUUUCGGGUUUGUCAAGAAGCAUGCUAUGAGACAUGGUCAAUCAAGAUGGGAUUUGCCCCUCUCUGAUUGAGAGUGAUAUCUCUGGGCCCCUCGAGUGAUCGGAUCCGAAAAUGCAUGGCCAUGCUACGUACGGUUAAGAGUUAACCUACAAAGGGAUUCCGAAUCACAGGAUCGAGAAAGAGCGGUCGGCUUGAAGCUAAACCAAAUAUCGUGAGGCAAAGGGAAUAGCAUGUAUAUUAUGUUGUGAUGGUUCGUCUGAUAUGAUCUUCCUGGUUAUACGUGGUAGAUUUUGAAUUGCGCUAGGGUAGCCUACCUCGUAUCCCAACAGCAACGGCACCAGAAAUCCUUGUUGGUAUUUCUUAAAGUUACGAAUAAAUUUGCAAGCGCAUGGAUAUACCAUUGUAGCAUUUCACCCGGAGAGUAUUUAGGGUAUCCUUAUUUAUAUUUUUCCCAGAGGAUGGUAUUGGUGUAAAACGAUUUAUCAGAUACAUAUUCAGGACAAUAUGCUUAAGUAAUAGAAAAGAUCAUAUAGGGGUAAGCCAGGAUAAAUAUAUGAGGGUAAUGUGACACACAAGCCAAUCUCAUGAAUAAAGAAUAAAUGAAGAAACCUAAGGUUAGCAAGAGCAAGGCAUACAAGAGGUCCUACUAGCAUCUAUCUAUACUAUCAAGGGUCAUACAAGCACAUGAUUAGAACUAUAUCUAAGCAUACGACAUUACAGGGAGAAAAUACCCAUCCCUGGUCUGCCAAGGCAAGGUAUCUUUUAGAACUCCUACACCAUACUCGAAUGUGGGGGACUAUAAGGGACGGACAUGGAUCUCACCACCUGCCGCCUACCGCAACAGACCAUGGGCACAGUCAUAUUCGAUGGAUCCCAACGCACCUGAGCACCAUGCUCAUACGCAUGAUCACUACUCAAGCCCCUCCGGAACCCCGACCAUGAUGAUCGACAUGCAUAGAACUAGAGCAAGCCCAAAGGCACAAUGAACCAAUGCGGUAAUGUAGAUUUAGCCUAAGCAUAUGAGUAUAACUUGAUAAAGCAGAAGACAUGGCAAAGCAUACUACUGAAAUAGCAUAACAACCAUAUUCUUUGUCCCUCUGACUGAUAUAGAAAUUUCUGAGACGACAUACCAAAACCAACGUAAAGGUGCUGGACUCUCUUUGAUACAUAUUGUAUGUGGCACGUUUAGCAUUUCAACUAAUUUUGGCAAGUACUAACCAAUGGCAUGGUGGGUAAUUUCAAGCAAACUUUUUUUGUUAAUCUCAGCCGUUGAAGUUUUUCUCAACAAUAGAUAGGUGCCUAGAAAAUUUUCUUUUUCUCCAAUUAACGUGGGAAUUUCUAGAGAGUUGGUGAUUAGUACAGGUGCAGAUAGAUAGAUGUCGGCCAUCUAGCUAUGCUAGCAAGCAAGCCUGCAGCAGCAGUACACGCAGUUUCUUUUUUUUCCUAGCCAGCAAAUUCACCAGAGCCAGACACCUAGGCCGACAUAUGUUUUUGCAGCAGCAUCUCUUUCGAUAGUGCAUACACAAGGCGCAUCGUUAAUAAGCUUGGGUGGUAGGUGGCACUGGUAGAGAAUUGGCCUUUAGUCCCGGUUGGUAGGGUGCAUAUCUCUCGAAAAUCCAUCCGGGAUAAACCAACCGGGACAAAAGGGGGGGUCUUUAGUCCCGGGUCUUUUAACCGGGACAGGCCCUUUAGUCCCGGUUGGUGACACCAACCGGGACUAAAGGGGACCCCUUUAGUCCCAGUUGGAUUUCCCAACCGGGACUAAAGGGGUCCCCUUUAGUCCCGGCUCGAUUCCAACCGGGACUAAAUGGCGCUUGCAUGGCACUGCCGUGACGCCUGAAUUUUUCAUGCAUGCAUCACGUAUACGUAGUACCGUGGCCCUUUUAAUUUGUUAACCUUGUAGUUGAGAUUUUUUUAGAAUGAAAUCAACUAGUAUUUAAACGAAUGGGAUUUGUAAUUAUACAAUUACUAUAUAUAUACACAAUCAUUAUACACAAUUCAACUAGCUUAGUACAAAUCGAUCAUAAUUAGCGCGUAUUAUAUAUACAAAUAAAUCAAAGUAUCUUCCUACAAUCUUCCCGUCGUGGUGUUGCUGAUCGGAGUGUCUAAUUGUCGUCCAUCGUAAUAAAAUUCUCCUUUUGGAUUUACCACCUCGUCCAUUAUGAAUCCAAUGAGACCUUCACAUAUUGCCGCUACUCUUUCUUCCUUCAACAGUCCUUGUUGAAUAUUUAACAUCUAUAAUUUGGAAAUUUGUGAAUGUUACAUGAACAAAUACAUAUAAGGAGCUAGAAAAUAAUUAACUAGUAAUAGUUUUAUUUUACGUAUUUUAAAGUUGUGUGGCGUCAUCUUCGGUCCCUUGGGUCCCAAAAAACUGUGCAUGUGCUCACAGAUGUAGUAGCCACAUAGAUUAUUCCCGGGUUCCUGUCUUAAGCACUUCAGUGCAGAAAAAAAUAAGUUAUGAAAUAUUCGUGUUAUACAAUGUCAUAAAUGUGCAGACUGCAUACGUACCGGGAAGUCUGUGUUCCAUGUAAGUUUUUCUUUGAAUGGACCUUUGUGUGUCCUUAUGAAUUGUUUCCAUGUGCUGCGGAUUAGAAUAAUGAAUGAUAUAGUGUAACAGGGAUAAAAUUUAGGAAAUAAAUUUUUGCAUAGAGAUAAAGGUCCAGAAUUAUUACAAGCCUAGCAUGUCUUGCAAUUCUUGGUAGUCCACCGGAUCUUUCCUUAACGAAUCGAAGAUAGUGACGUGGCUUCUUUCAGGCUCAAUUAUAAUAAGGAUCCAGUGGAAGUUGCGUGCGUAAAAAUGUUCAUGCAUAUUAGAGCUAACUAACAUGUAGAGAUAAGGAAAAAGACAUCGAAAGUAGACGGUAUACACACACUUACUUGAAGUUGUAUGGAAGUAGUAUGAAAUCCUUGAAUGUUUGUUUGUGUAGGAAAUUGUAUAUUUCCACAAAGGUUUUUUCCGGCGCUAAUUAUAUCUGUUGUUGGUUAACUACAGAUGGAUCCAUGAAGCCUAUAUGUAGGUACGCAUCUCGGCGGCAUGUCUGAAUUAGCAUCCUACAUGAAAUGGAAGAUGAAGUUAGUACGGUGACGCACGCCAAAAUUUACAUGUAGAGAUAAACGGACACUUACAGAAUCCAAGCGCUGAUCAGAGAGACGUCCAGGGCAUCAUGAUGGUACACUUCAUAUAUAUCCUUGAAGUCUAGCCACAGCACUUUCUCCCCUUCACUGUGAAAAUCUAUCGGUUUUACCUUCAUGCCGAUCAUCUCCCUCGAGUCGGCGGAUGCCAUCAUGUACCAUUGAUGGAAUUCGUACAUCUUUGUUGAUAGCUUCCGUACCAAUGAAGGCUUUACUAGAGGUUUGCCUAGCUCAUAAGGCCACUUCGGCUCAGGGGGCGCUGUAGUUGGCGUCUCAACUUGCCCUAUGCAUUCAUCAAGUCCCAGACCUAUUUCUUCCAUGAACUUCAAUAUAUUUGCUUGUUGAUCCAAGGGCAUUGCUUUUACCCGUUGAGCAUCUUUUUUUGAUAAAUGGCUGAGGUCGGGGACUGGACCGCUGGAAGAUGACUUUCCUUUCCUUUUAUCCUUUUCAUCAGCCUUUACUAGAGCCCGUUCAUAGUUUGACAAGAGUGGUAUCCUUUUCUUGGCUCCUUCUUCCAUCCUGAUAAAAAAGUUUAAAUCUCGCCGACUUACUGGCGGUGGCUCCAUCUCCCUUGCCUUUUUUUCUUCGGCUUGUUUCUUGAACCACUCACUGGCCUCUCGUUGGAUUUCUACCCACUGUUCUUCAUGAGACAUUGCCUCAAAGCGUUCCUUACGAGUCACUUCAGGCUCCUUUGUUUUCUUCUUUCUCUGUCUUUGCUUGGGAGGCGGUGCUCGUGACUUCUUUAGUGGUGCUGCAGGUUCCUUCAAGGGGGCCGCUCUUGGUGCCGGCGACGGUGAUCGGGGAGGGGUGUUGUUAUUGUCGUCGUCGCUCCCAGCACCAGGAUGUGGUGGAGAUGGAGACCUUGAUAUAGAUGGAAGGGACGGUUCUGGAGCAGGAGAUGCCGGUCUCGAGGUAUGAGGAGAAGGUCGUUGCUGGGGAUCUACGGGGAGCGGUCUUGAGGUCUGAGGAGAUGGCUCCGUGCCGGGAAUAAUGAUGUAGCGUUUCUUCCAUAGAAUGAUCCCAUGAAGCGCAUCUGCCAAUGUCUUUUCCCCGUCGCCUCCCGGGAAGUCGAGCUCUAGACCUUCAUACUGGGGAUCAACUAUUUGCUCUACGCAGACGCUGGCGUAGCCUGUUGGAAUGUCCAUGCCAUGACUGCUCUGCCCUGCCAGGGUUGCUAACGCACUCCCGUACGCUACCUGUACAUAUAGCAGAAGUAAACAAGUUGAACUCCGAUCUCGAGGCCUGGAUCAAUUGACAAGAUUGCAUAAAUAUUAUGUAUAAGUAUACCUUAAUAGUGAGGUUGCCGACCGGUGCAUGCAGCUCACAUGAGGUCCGUUGCGUGAUGGCAUCCACGGGGAACCGUUGCUCCUCCACGGGUAACCUGGGCGUCUGCGCAUCGGGGACCCCUGUAGAAGCACAACUGCUCAAGAGGCGUUGAGAAGGGCUGGCGGUGUUAGGAUUCGGCAUUGCUCCAGAUUGGGCCAACUCCGCAACUGCGUGGGCCACCCGUCGAUUGAUUUCAUCCAUCAUUCUUUGUUCUAGCAUCUGCCGCCAGCUCUCCUCGAUCUGUUCCUUUCUUCGCUUCCGGCUUCUGUAAGAGGCGCUGUCGCCUCGGAAAGCGAACUUCCACGGAACCACCCCGAACCCUCGGCAACGUCCUGGGUGCUCUGGAUUACCGAGGGCCAAUGUGAGCUCAUCAUUUUCUCGGUCCACCUUCAACCUCCCAGCCUUAGAAUCUUCAAUGUUCUUCAUGAGAUGUUCGGCCUUCUCACGUAUUGUGUCAUUAAAAAUCAACGUCCCAUCCUCUUGGCUUAGGGAGCCUCCAUGAGCGUAGUACCAAUUUUUUGAUCGUUCGGGCCAUUCAAUAGUUGCAGGUACGAUUCCCUGUUCGAUCAGAUCUUGUUCCAUCUUCCUCCACUUGGGAAUUGCUGAGCCAUACCCACCUCGCCCCAAAUGAUGGUGGUAGCCCUUCUGACUACCAUUUGCUGUGUUGGUCGUGAUCUUUUUCACACCUUCUUCACUCCUCUUAUAUUCAACAAAUGCAUCCCAGUGGUCCCUCAACUUUGGCCACGCGUUGAAGUCUGGAGUUUUGCCCUUCUUGAUGUAGUGGGUAUCCAGCAUCUUCUUGAAUGUCUGGAAUUGAGUAGCCAUCUUCUUAAGCGUCCACGCUUUGACAUCCUUCUCACUAUAUCCUUCGGGGAAUGUGAAAUGUCUCUUCACGUCUUCCCACAGCAUAUUCUUUUCUAUCUCUGGAAGGGUGUACGGAUUAGUGCUUCUGCCCUUCCAUUCUCUGAUGCUGAUAGGCACGUUGUCCCGGACGAUUGCCCCGAUUUGACUCACGUACUUCUUUGCUACUUUCUCGGGAGCAACCGGCCUGCCCUCUUCUGUAACUUCCGUGAUGACAAGCCUCCCUUCCAUCACCUUUGUAUGACCUCGGGUCUUCUGCCCUUGUGUCGAUCCGGAGGGCUAACAGUUCAAGAUUCGUUAAUUAGUACGUAGUAGUAACGGUGGCGUGAAACAAUACAAGAAUGGUUGUAUAUACCUCGCCGGAACCUUCCGCCACGGCAAGUUGUUGCUGCGGCUGUUGCUCUUCAUUCCCAUCGGCGGACAUGUUGAGGAACAUGUCCGCCUGGGUGCCCUCUUCAUCCAUGUAUGAUAGUGGAACAUUGUCGCCACUACCAUCACCAGCGAUUAUCUGCUCCAUGAUAUACCUUGCGGUCUCAUCGUCUGCCAUUUCAACUAUUGAUGGAAACAUACAUGGAAUCAUACAUGACAGUCAUAGAAAUCGUCUUACUACAAAUUUGUACAAAGUCCUACAAAGUCCGGAAUCAUACAUGUAUCUAAUAAAAUCAUAAAAUAACAUGAAUCGUACAAAGUCCGGAAUAUUUAUACAAAUUUCUACGAAUUUUGACGAAUUUCUACAAAUUUCUAUGAAUUUCUAUGAAUUUCUAUGAAUUUCUACAAAUUUCUACGAAUUUUUAUGAAUUUCUACGAAUUUCUAUGAAUUUUGACGAAUUUCUAUGAAUUUCUAACAAUAUCCACGUGCGGUGCCUAGGUUGUGACGCCGGCGAUCAGGGCGGCGGAGGCGGGAUGGCGGCGAUCAGGGCGGCGGUACGGCGGAGGCGGGGACGGUUCACCGGAACCACGGGCGGUGCCUACUAGGUUGUGACGGCGGCGGUCAAGGCGGCGGUACGGCGGAGGCGGGGACGGUUCACCGGAACCACGGGCGGUGCCUACUAGGUUGUGACGGCGGCGGUCAGGGUGGCGGUACGGCGGAGGCGGGGACGGUUCACCAGAACCACGGGCGGUGCCUACUAGGUUGUGACAGGCGGCGGGACGGCGGCGAUCACGGCGGCGGGACGGCGGAGGGGACGGCGAUGCAUCCUACGAAUUUCUAACUUCAUUUUCUAACUUAAAAAUCUAACUUAACAAACUAACUAAAAAAUCUACGGUACAAAUAUAACUUAAUUUUCUAGCUUAACACUCAAAAUUAGAAAUCUAUCGUAAAAAUAUAACUUAAUUUUCUAACUUAAAAAAAACCCUCCCGGCGCUGCCGGCCGGCGCGGCAGCGGACCUCUCGCGCGCAGGGCGGCGGCCGGGGCGGCGGGACGGCAGCGGCUGGGGCGGCGAGGACGGCAGCCGCCGAGGCGACGAGGACGACGGCGGCCGAGGCGACGACGACGGCGGCGGCGUAGGCGGGACGGCGACGAGACGGCGACGAGGGCGACGAGGGGCGACGAGGAUGGAGCCGGUGGCCGGAGGCGACGAGGGGGCCGGGGGCCGGGCGCGUCGACGGACGAGGAGGGGAUCGAGGCGGGCCGGCCGGGGGACGACGACGGCGCAAUGGGGGACGACGACGGCGGCGGCCGGCGAGGGAGGCGGACGGGCGGCGACGGCGGAGAACGCGCGGGAAUUGGCGAAAAUUUGGCUAAGUGUGUAACUGGCGGGGGGUAGAAGGGAGUACAGUGCCUUUUAACCCCCCCCCCCUUUUAUCCUGGUUCGUAAUGGCACCCGGGACAAAAGGGCAUUUUGUCCCGGGUCCCGUCACCAACCGGGAUAAAAGGGGGGGGGGCCUUUUAUCCCGGUUGGUGACGGAACCCGGGACAAAAAGGUGCCCCCGCCAGGUGGGGCUGGGAGCGUACCCUUUUGUCCCGGGUCCCGUCACCAACCGGGAUAAAAGGCCCCCCCCCCUUUUAUCCCGGUUGGUGACGGGACCCGGGACAAAAGGGUGCCCCCGCCAGGUGGGGCUGGGAGCGUACCCUUUUAUCCCGGGUCCCGUAACCAACCGGGAUAAAGGGGGGGCCUUUUAUCCCGGUUGCAGUUGGCAACCGGGAUAAAAGGGUACGUUCGGGCGGGAGACGAAACGUACCCUUUUAAUGGCAACCGGGAUAAAAGGGGGGCCUUUUGUCCCGGUUGCUGUUAACACCCAAGACAAAAGGUCUUUUUUCCUAUUUUUCUUCUCCCGCCUAUUUUUUGGAAAUGGAUUUUAUUUUAUCUUUUCACUGCAUUUCAGGAUGAAAAACAAAACCUUCACAGAUUUUGUACAUGCAAAAAUAUAUUUAAUUAACGAGUAAAUUGACAAUAAGUAUGAAUUAAUCAUUAAUUCUAUACCAGUUCAUUUAGCCUGUAAAAUAUUUAUUUUACUGCAUUGCUGUGAUCAAGAAAUUAUUCAAUUAAAUUAUUUCAAUGCGCAGAAAAAUCCAUGUUAGUAUGUGGCUAAAAAAUCUUCACCUAACAAAUUUAAUAACACAUGAAAUCAUACAUAGGGUAAAUUACAAAUUGUAUCAAUUAAUACACAAAGGUCAUGUACAUUUAACGCAUUACAAUACAAUGUUGUAAAAUUUCUUCUUCACGAAAGUUCCUUGAUCAUGAUCGCGGCGUAAGUACGGAGCCUCUUCUUUGGAUAGCAGGAUGCUUGGAUCAACUUCAACGGCGAAUGGAGGCAUGCCAUCAAACUGAUCAUAAUCAUCUGAUUGGUCUGUUUUAUCCUCGACUCCCACGAUUUUUCUUUUACCUGGAAGAACUAUGUGGCACUUUGGCUCCCAUGUCUCUUCUGGAUUCCUCUUGGGUUUGCUGCACAUGUCCUUCACAUAGAACACCUGAUGCACAUCAUUGGCAAGUACGAAUGGGUCAUCACUAUAUCCAGUCUUGCUCAGAUCUACUAUUGUCAUUCCGUACUGAUCUUUGGUGACGGCAGUUAGCUUCACCCAAUUGCAAAGAAAUAGAGGGAUGUACAGCGGUCCGUAUUCGAGUUCCCAUAUCUCCUGUAUGAAACCAUAAUACGACUCCUUGCUAUUAUUUCUGUCCAUGGCAUCUAUGCGGACACCACUAUUCUGGUUCGUGCUUUUCUGGUCCUGGGCUCUCGUGUAAAAUGUGUAACCAUUUAUCUCAUAGCCUUGGAAUUUGACGAUUGUGGUAGCAGGUCCCCUGGCUAACCAGGCAAGCUGUGGGUGAAUCUCAGAGUUACCCAUAAGUUGUUGGCGUAACCAGGAGGGAAAAGUUUCCAUGUGAUGACGGGUAAGCCAAGCAUCGGAUUUGGUCGGGUUUUUUGAAGCUACCAUCUGCCUGUGCUGCUCGAUAUACGGAGACACAAAGGAUGACUGUUGUAGAACAGUGUAGUGUGCCUUGUCGAACAAAUCAGUGUCAUUGCUCAAACUUGAUUUCCUUCCAAGGGUGCCCAUUCCUCGGAGCCUCCCCUCGUGGCGUGAAGUUGGAACCCCAAUCGAGUCAAUUGAAUCAAUAAAAUCAACACAAAACUCGGUCACCUCCUCUGUUCCAUAUCCCUUGGCGAUGCUUCUUUCUGGACGGGCACGAUUAAGAACAUAGUUUUUUAGGACUGCCAUGAACCUCUCGAAAGGCCACAUAUUGUGCAGGUAUACAGGUCCGAGAAUACCAAUCUCUUUUACUAGGUGAACCAGUAAGUGCGUCAUAAUAUUGAAGAAGGAUGGUGGAAAUAACAACUCAAAACUGACAAGACAUUGCACCACAUCGUUCUGUAGCUUUGAUAGCUUGGAUGGAUCGAUUGCCUUCUGCGAAAUCGCAUUGAGAAACGCGCAUAGCUUUACGAGCGGCAACCGGACAUUUUCUGGUAGAACACGCCUCGGUGCAAUCGGAAGCGACUGGGUCAUCAACAUGUGGCAGUCAUGAGCCUUGAGAUUUGUAAACUUCUUUUGUUUCAUAUUUAUUAUUCCCUUUAUAUUCGAGGAGUACCCAGACGGGACCUUCAUACUAUUCAAGCAUUCAAACAUGCUAUCCUUCUCUUCCUUGCUGAGAGUGUAACUGGCAGGACGUAAGUAGUGCUGUCCAUUAUCUCUCUUUUCCGGAUGUAGGUCAUCUCGUUGCCCCAUGGCUUUCAGGUCCUGUCGUGCUUCCAAUGUAGGAAUCUUUUGAGGUUCCAUAAACACCCAUGAAGCCUAGCACGUUCACGCAAAGAUUCUUCGUCGGGUGCAUCACGUCUAUUGCGUUGCGAACCUCUAGGAUUUCCCAAUAAGGUAGCUCCCAAAAUAUUGACUUUUUCUUCCACAUGGGUGCAUGUCCGUUAUCGUCGUUCGGAACAGGUUGGCUACCAAGUCCCUUUCCGAAGACUACAUAUACAUCCUUCAUCAUCUCGAACACACGCUUUCCAUUACGGUGUGCAGGUUUUUUACGAUGGUCUGGCGCCCCUUUGAAAUGCAUCCCGCUCUUUCUCAGCUGGUGGUGAGCAGGGAGAAAUCGAUGAUGACCCAUAUAGACGACCUUCUUACAGUGCUUCAAGUACAUGCUGUCUGUGUCAUCUAAACAGUGGGUGCAUGCCCGAUAUCCCUUAUUUGUCUGUCCUGAAAGGUUACUCAAUGCAGGCCAAUCGUUGAUGGUUACGAACAACAGUGUUCGUAGAUUAAAGAUCUCUUGUCUAUCCUCAUCCCACACACGUACACCUUCUUCCUUCCAGAGCUGUAAAAGGUCAUCAACCAACGGCCUUAGGUACACGUCAAUGUCGUUGUCGGGUUGUUUUGGGCCUUGGAUAAGCGCCGGCAUCAUAAUGAACUUCCGCUUCAUGCACAGCCAAGGAGGAAGGUUGAACAUACAAAGGGUCACAUGCCAAGUACUAUGGCCACUACUCAACUCACCGAAUGGAUUGAAUCCAUCAGUGCUUAAACCAAACCUUAUGUUCCUUGCUUCACUUUCAAAGUCUGGGAAUGUUCUAUCAAUUGAUCUCCACUGUGCCCCAUCUGCGGGGUGUCUCAGCAUCUCAUCUUCCUUACGGUCUUCUUUGUGCCAUCGCAUCAACUUAGCAUUCGCCUUGUUCCUGAACAAGCGCUUCAAGCGUGGUAUUAUAGGGAAAUACCACAUCACCUUCGCGGGAACUCUCUUCUUGGGAGACUGCCCCUCGACAUCACCAGAAUCAUCUCGCCUGAUCUUAUACCGCAGGGCUUCGCAGACGGGACAAGCAUCCAAUUUCUCGUAUUCAUCACCACGAUAGAGGAUACAGUCAUUAGGGCAUGCGUGUAUCUUCUGAACAUCCAAUCGGAGAGGGCAAAUAAUCUGUUUAGCUUCAUAUGUUGUGGACGGUAAUUCAUUAUUCUCGGGGAGAAUCUUCUUGACAAUGUUCAACAUCCCCUGAAAUGCCUAAUCGGACACACCAUUUUUUACCUUCCAUUGCACAAAUUCUAGUGUCGUACCUAGUUUUUUAUGGCCCUGCUGGCAACCUGGGUACAACAAUUUUUGGUGAUCAUCUAUCAUGCGCUGCAACUUUGCUGCUUCCUUCUCAGUUUCGCAAUCUCUAUAUGCAUCUCGUAUCACCUGACCAAGGUCAUCAGUAGGGUCAUUUUCUGCAAACUCAUCUUCAUCAGCCUCGCCCAUUGUAAUACCUGCAAAAACUUGGCCUGCAACCCAGUCCGGAAUGGUGUCAUCUUCCUCCUCCUCCUCGCCAUCUUCCAUUACAACCCCUAAUUCACCGUGCUUGGUCCAAACCAAAUAGUUAGGCAUGAAACCGUCUGCAUUGGUUGAGAAAGAUUGCAGACGUUUUACCCAUAUAGCUGUCUGCUUAAAGAUUCAUUCGCACACCUUUCACACGAUAGCCGUCGGUGUUAUGAGAGGACUGGCUUUUGGCGAGUGCUAGAAAUUAGAAACCCAGAGGUUAAUCUAGUAACGGCCUAGAAUGUGAGGCAUAGGUAGUGAUCAGGACUCAAGACAGUGGCGGGGCGGGACAAAAAAACCUUUUAGAGCCAGGGCGAACAUAACAAUUAGUAACAAGCUAGCAAGUUCACCCAAACAUAUCACAAACGUAUCGACCCUUGUGAUGCAAAUUGGGAACAUCGUGUUGGAAAGACUUCAGGUAUUCAAAGUUUAGUGGGAAGGCUCGGUGAGGGAGAAACAGUAUGGGAGAAUUAUUGAUCAACAGGCGUAUACAUGUCAGGUUUGAAGGUUGUUAGCUAGAUGGAACAAAUUAAAUGUACAACUACCAGCUAGCGGCACAUCUGCCCACAUAAGGCUAGAAAUUCUUGGGAUUGGCACAAGUAGCACUAAUGACAUUCUUAAUGGGGUUUCAUGGGCAUUAAAUGUUAGCAUUUUUGAUGAUGUGGCAGUGUAUUAAUGAAGAGGGAGGUGAAAUGAGUUUCAUUAUGAUGAAACCCUGUGUAUAUUAUUUCCGAGACAGCUUGUGUCUUGCAUGUAACCUAGGAAACAACAAGAGAUGAAACUAUGCUUGAGGGGAGGUGUUUCAUCCCAAUUUCAAACAUUUUUAGAUGAUGUGUCACUCUAGGUAAUCGUGACCAUAAAACUCCCACUAAGAAUAGCCUAAAUGACUUUGAGUAGCAAGUUAUCUACCAUGUCACAAAUAUAGUAAUGUCACAAAUAUAGUAAUAUAUCAAAUUGAAGUAAAAGAACAAAAAAUUUAACCAUGUUUUCAUUCAUUGCAUCCAUCCACAGAAACUUUUGAAGUAAUAUUCUAGAUAUUUUAAAGGCAGCCUAUGCUCCUGUAGAAUCGCCAGGGGUAUUACAUAUCUAUCCAUGAAUUUAACCAUUCUUUCUACUAGCCCAGCCAUCUCCAUCGAAACAUAGCAUGUCCAUUCAUUCAUCCAUAUAUAGCAUUCAUCCUUUCAUCUGUAACAUAUAUAUUAAUGCAUUCUUCAUGAACAUAUAUGUUCAUAAGAUUCAUCUAUAGCAUAUUCACCCUAGCAUAUUCAACUUCAUCCAUUUAUCGCUUGUUCCAAGUACAAAAUAGGGCCAGAGAUGCACACAUAUAUAAAAGUACAAUUCAAAUACAGUUCCAGAUACUGAGAGAUGGUAAGCUGAUAGGUAGAACUAAUCACCUCCUGACCUCCAUGGGAAAACUGGGAUGUUCAUAUGUAGGAGUAGGAUCAUGGGAGACUUUACCGGGGUACCUCGGCAGAUAAUAUGAACUCUUGCUCCAAGCUGUAGCAUCUUCGGCUUAGUUGGUCUAGGCUACAGCCAGCGAGAGGAGCAGCAUUAACUCUAGAAGACAGCAACUGCUGUAUCUCUUGAUCAUCUCCUUGAGCAACUCGGGAUAGCUUUGACCUUUUCGCAUGCAGCGUGUGCAAUGUCAUCUCCACUUGCUUCAUAGUAGGUCUCUCUUCACCUUGGAGCCUUAGACACAUCUCUGCAAGGUGUGCAACACUGUUGAUUUCUUCCUCAGUUGCUUCUUCACGAAUUUGUGCAGUAACUAUCUCUUUUAUUGGCCUUGACUUCAACUCGCAGAGAAAGUAACUUGACAAGUUCUGUUUUGAGCCUGACUGAGUAGUAAAAAUGGGCUCCUUUCUGACGAGCAACUCAACAAGUACAACACCAAAACUAUACACGUCACUCUUUUGAUUCAGUUGUCCAGUUCGGUAAUACUCUGGAUCUAAAUAACCAAAUGUGCCUUGUACAUUUGUGUUAACAUGGGUCUGGUCAAUAGGAACUACCCUUGAAGCUCCAAAAUCUGAAACUUUAGCAGUGUAGUUUGCAUCAAGGAGUAUAUUAGAUGACUUGACAUCACGAUGGAAAACCAAUACAGAAGCUGCAGAGUGGAGAUAGCAGAGAGCGCCUGCUACUUCUAGGGCAAUUCUUAGGCACUCAUCCCAUGACAAAGAGAAAUUGCUAUCUGAACUUGAAUGAAGAAUAUCAUAUAAUGAACCAUUGGGAACAAAAUCAUAUACCAGCAAUGGGACCUUGGUUUCAAGACAGCAUCCGAAUAGUCUUACGAUAUUUCGGUGGUUUAUAUGUGAAAGAAUAAUCACCUCAUUAAUGAACUGGUUGAUUUCACUUUGUUCGAUAGCCUUAGAACUUUUUAUGGCCACCACUCGCUGAUCAGCUAAGAUGCCUUUGUAUACUGUGCCAUGUCCUCCACGACCCAGGAUACGUGUUUGAUCAAAGUUAUGUGUUGCCUUUUCUAAAUCUUCUAAGGAGAAUAUUUUUGUCUUGUCACUGGUAUUUUCGUCCAAUGAUAUUAAUUGUUCUAGGAGAAUACCUUGGUUGUCCCGGAAAUAUUUCCUGCGUUGUUUCUUUUGCUCAUCUCUUUUCCAUUUAAGGACAAUAAAUACAGCACUUAAGCCCAGAAGAGGAACACCAAAACCAACACCAAGGCCGAUCAUGAUACCUAUCAUAUGCACAAUUAUUGUUCUCGAUUUUUUUUCUGUUUUUUGAAUUAUUACGUGAAAUCUAUUGGUCACGAACUCACCUAGCAGAAGACGACUUUUUUGCCUGUUCGUUGGAGUGCACCCCAUUUUUGUGGCAUCAUACUCUGUUUUAUGAGGACAUUUUGUGCAAUAGAAAGCUCCUAUAGUAUUAUGGCACAAUCCUUUACAAAUGCCCGGUAUAGUUUCACACUCAUUGAUAUCUGCAUCCACAUGUUAGUUUGUUACGACAAAUCAAUAAAAGCAAAACUAUAUAUAAAUGUGUAGAAAUAUAUAUGCACAUUCUUGUGUGGGAAUAACCUUGGCAACCGUUCCGGACAUACGGGUUUCCGUGAAAUCCAGUCAAGCAUCUGCAUCGAUAGCCAAGAUAACCACUAAUUCUUAAGCUGACACCCAAGCAAGUACUGUCAGCACUGACGCAUGCAUAUGUAGUGCUAUCCUCUUGCGCCUCUUGGCAGCUAAGAUUGGCUACGACCCAUUGUAAUUCUUGAGUUCUUAUUGAACCGGUGUAGAUACUUUGCAUUCCUCCAUAAGAAAAUUCACCCCUAUUUAUUGUUUCAAUUGUCCCUUCGUUGAUAUUGAUCUGCCGUAUUUCGGAGUACAUACUAAUAAGCUCAAGUCUGGAGGAUCUCAUGUCGAUGCAAUGGAGCUGAAAUUGCUUCCUCGCAUAGCAGCCUUCUUCUAGGCCAAAUGGAAAUGGAAUGCUGAUGUUCCCACAUGAUCUACCACAAUUCGCCUUCCAUUCAACAGGAUUAUACCCUGUUCAUUGUAUAGGAGGCAAUAAUCAAAACUCCCAUGUUUAAAUAGUUCUGGAAGAAAUAAAAAUUAUGUUACCUCGAUCACGGGAGCAGCCAUCUGCGACAUAUGGAUUGCCAGCAUACCCGUUAUGGCACAUACACUGGUAUGAAGGUGACAUCCCGGAGUAGGCGUCAAAGCAUCUGCUAUGAUCACUGACACAUGCGUAGUUUGUCUUGUUAGAUGCGGCAUCGCAAUUUAUAUUACGUCGAUCCAGUACAAUGCCCCACAAAAGCAGCAUGUUGUAAGUUUCGACCCUGAUUGUGUCCCAUAGCAAACUCUGAUUGGUGUGUUGCAUUUCCCCUUUGGUCUUGCUUUUGCCGCGGUCGUACCUGACAAACUGGAGCUCCAAGGAAACAACUGUGUGGGAAAACAUUGAACGGCAGCAUCCAGUACCGUUGCACUGCUGCUUGGCAACGCUUUCCGGGAUCCCAUCGUUAGGGCAGUUAACUGUGCAUAUCAAUUCCCUUGAGUUAACGCCAUCUAGCAAAUAUAUAUCAAAGUCACAGCCAAUGAAGCUCAGUUCUAUGACUCGUGUGCCAAUAAAAGAUGGUCCAGGUACUUUCCAUGACAUGUUGUAGGCAUCCACGCCGGAUCUCAUUUGCCUGGAGUGCGAAAUGGCGACGCGUAGUUCUGUUAUUUACCAUAAUCUAUGAAAUGAGGAUUUGCUACUGGGGGAAACCAAGCACAUGAAACUGAAUUGUAGCCACAAUAAUACAUGCUAGCAUAUUUUAAUCUGCUUCAAGUGUGCUAACAAAACCCUACAUCUAUGUAGGAGAUCGGUAACUAAUGAAACCAAUUUCAUGCACCAAGGACUCCAGCGUCCACCGGGCACACUACGGGAAAGCUAGAAAUUGCCGAGUGUAUUUUUUUUGCCGAGUUUUUUUUUUCGAGCACUCGGCAAACAAGCUCUUCGCCGAGUGUUUUUGGGGCUUUGCCGAGUGCCCCAGGCACUCGGCAAUGUUCCUGUCUCCCGUAGUGGCAGCAGGGAAGAAAGACAUGUAUAUUGUGGUGUUUUACUCUCUGUCAUUGUAGCAUUACGUUUCCUUUUUUUAAGAAACAUAACCCCGAUGUAUCUAGAUGUGCUUUUACCGUUCACAAUAUAUGUGGUUCCGCAUAUUAUGUUCAUGAUAAUACUGUCUUUUUACGGCUAUGUGGCACUGCAAAAACAGUUAUUAAACUUUUCAAAAAAGAACAAGCAGUAAGUAAACUUUACAUGCAUACUUUCAGAUGUGAUACUUGCUAACUUUCUGACUUCAACCAUAAGUUCACGAGAUCCAAUCCAAUAAUUUAUUACUAGUUAUAUCUUUAAUUUUUAUAAAAACCAUGCAUGCAUAGUAGCAUAUUCUCAACAUCUAAUAACCGACAAAUUCUUACACGAGGAAGUUACUGUAUAGCGCUCUGAGGACCAGUACGACAGAAGGAACACUUGAUUUUGGGUUAAGAUGUGAUCGAUUCAAUUUUGGGUUCAUUUUAAUUUGUUUUCUAAUCCGAUGUGAUAGAUAUUGAUGUGGUGAUGACUUGAGUACAUACACUUUCCUAUUAUUACUUCAGGUUAUGCGCUUGGUACAAGCGCGCAUAGCACUCUAAUCUGACUAGUUAAACUUAGUUAUCACCUGUCAUGUUUAUAUUUUUUGUGCUAUCUACCUGUGCAAUUGUUUGCGUGUGUACUAUGUAUGGUUGUAUGCGUUAUAUUGAGUUGGACGUUUGAAGUGGUUGAUACAUGUGUCAGUGUUCCCAAUUUCAAUUAAUGAUUCCCAACCAUAAUCGACAUGUUCCAAGUUGAAUUAUUUCGUUUCCGACAUCCCGUAUAUCUGAUUUUGCUUUCCCAACCUGGCUCUCCCGACUUUGUUAUUCCCGUUCCCGAAUAAAAAUUUGAAAAUGAAAGUGGUUCAAGUCUUUUCCCAAUCGUUCCUGACCGUUUUUCAUCUCGAUGAGUGAUUAACGUUCCGUUGAAAUGGUUUGACGGCUUCUUCUAUGAGCAUAAUUCAAUUAUGUUAAGGGUGCUUAUGUUUAAGACUAAAACCAGGUUGGUGAAGGAGUUCAUAUGGAACAUGGUGUAGAAAUAUUGCCAUGUUGGCUUAUGAUGUCUAUUGUUUAGGUGGAAUAUGUCGGUCAAUGGGAAGAAAAUAAAGUCCAAGCAGAGGCUUGGGGUGUGGGGUUAUGGAUAAGGAUGUCAGGUGAAGUCGUCUCUGAACCAGGGUUCCAAACCCACUACCACAAGAAAUGGUCACUACUAUUCUCGAUGGUAGUUUCAUGAGCAAUAAAUGAGCUGCAAUGUAGGUAAUUGUAAUGACAUGACACAUUAUUUAUAAGGUGAGAGAAGAAACAAGUCUCAUGCUGAUGAAACCAUGUGUAUACUAUUUCCAAAAUAUUUAUAUCUUGCAUAUAGUUUCGGAAACAACAAAUAAAUGAAAUAAUGCAUUGUGUAGUACAUUUUAUCUAUGAACUAAAUCCACACAUGUUUAUGUGGUAUUUUUGGAAACGUAAAUAUGAAACCAUACAUUGAGAAUGGCCUAAUACCAAAUGGCAUUCAAAACUUAUCUACAAUAUAAUUGUUAAUGAUGGUUUUUAGGCCGGACUUUCUGCACGGGCUAAAACUCCUUCAAAUAUAGUCCAAGAUAUACAAAUGGUGUUUUAAGGAAUAUGUCUGUGAACAUUGUAGAUGGUUUUCUAUGUAAAAAGUGUACUGGUAUAUAUAAUCAUUACACAUUGUUUUUUUGGGUAAAACAUUUUGGGAUGUACAGUCAUGACAGUGUCUUUUAAAACUACUUUUGUACUAAAGUCAUUGGGCGGUAUUUCAAAAAUAUGUUAGUAAUUCAUAACAUAAAUUAACAUUUAUUUUUUAAUUAAGUUGACUUUGAUAAUACAAUACGAUGGAUAUAUCAUGCCCACCCACAUCUCUAAGAAAUUUAUUUAUGAAGUGUUUGCAAAGUUUUUAGCCCCAGUGACUGGAACCUAAACCAUUGUCGUCUUCAUCUAUGUAGUACUGCUUAAGAUGCUACAAUUAUGGAAAUUCCAUUUUGACCAGGCCUAAAUCUUUUGCAAAUAAUCUAUAAUUUUACUAGAGAUAGGAUCCUAUUGAAGUUUGUGAAUGCUACUGGAGAUGUGAUAUUGCGGAGAAAUAUGUUGGCUCAAGCAAUAAGUUGAAAAGCACAAAAAGAACAAGGAAGAAUCCAAGAAAUAGAAAAUAAAGUAAUUCUAACCUCAAAACAAUCGUGGGAACAUGAUUAAGAAGCUUGCCAAGAGAACAAAUUUGGCAUGCUACUUAUAUCCAUGAGGAAUACUACAAGUCCAUCAAGUGCAAGAGCAAGAAGAAGGGAAGACAAAGAACACAACCUCAAACACCAAGACCCACAUGAAUGCUAGAAAAGAGCACACCAUACUUUCUCAAGAAGAAAAACCGACAUGUCUACUAGGCUCGAAAGGACAUGAACAAUUUCUUUGACUACUGGUGCAAUAGCUACAUUUUAGAGAGGGGACCAUAAACACCCCCUGACAUGAACAAUUUUAAAUGCUGGAUGCUCGCUUAUGUGCUCAUGUACACACACGAGUGGGCACACACGAACACAUUGUACACACACACAAAUGCACAUGUGCGUGCACACUCACACAGCAAGUAGCAUUCAAGCCACCCAAGAGCUCAAGAGUUGACCAAGGCAGUUAGCACAAGCUUCUAGGUUGAUUGGUUCUACAUUAGGAUUUUCGUACAUCUUCCUAGAGUAAGGAGAGGUUAUAUCUCUUAUUCCCAUGUUUGUUAUUGUUGGUGGUCUUAAAUAUCUUACUGACCACCAACAUCUCGGUGAUUAAAGUGGGUAUAAAUAUACUUUUAUGCAUUACUUGUUUUGAACUAACAAAUUCCAUCAAUUUUGGUGGUUUGAAAUGUUUUGCAGGAUUAUGGUCAAAAUAUGCAAGAGACAACACUAGAUGGAGCAUAUACAAGGAUGGUACAAAUGGACAUAAGAUGGCACCAUCGGAGACAUUGUCAAAUGCCAAAUUGGACAUCACCAUGUUGAAGAACUUGUCAAUAUGAGUGAGUUGGAUAUAUGGUUCGCCCAAUUCAAAGUCCCAAUGCAAAAGUUAUGCAAUUCGGAAGUUCCGCGACUAUGCUGCAUGGAAGUAGCAGGCUAGCCAGCCCCACACUUUUGUCAUACCUCGCCACAAGGGAAAUAGGGACCCCCCCUAAUGGACCCCUAUGCACUGGAGGAACGAGCAAAUUCCAAGCUGACGACCGAAAGCUUCGACCAAGGAUUGGAUGGCCACAACUUAGAGCAAAAUCAACAAAAAAUCAUCGAAAUGAGGUGUGGCUAGAUCUAUUAUGGCCAUCCACCACACAAUGGAAGUUGAUUGGAUGGCUUUGGUGGAAAUACUAGGCCGGUCAGCCUAACAGCUUCGGUGAAAUGGACCGAUCAUUCUAGGAGAGCUCGCUAACCUCCUCUAGAAGCUAAAUAUAUGUGGACUAAAGCAAGGUUGGAGAAAUCAUAGGUCAGUCAGCUAAGCAUUUCAAUGGAACUGCCUUCAUCUUUCUGUGGUGGCAAUCAACUGAUGUGGGGAGACUUGAGGUGGUGUCUUUCUCAUCCAAGGUGGCAAGAGGAGAGUGUUUGGAGGGGAAGAUUCUCUUUGGAUUCCAAGAGCAUCUCCACUAUCCCAAGCCACCUUCAUGCUAUAAAUAGGACUUCUCACCCUCGUUGUCAUUUGUACCUUCCUUCACCACUUCCCUGCCACUUUGGGAGGCAUCCUUUGGGUGGCAGCGUGGCGCUUUCUCGUGUAAUUCAAAGGUUAGUUCACGAGUUAGAGUCCAGAGCUCUCUUCGGUUCCAAAGUUACCUUUAGGAGUCUAGGUAUGAGUUCCAUUAUAUCUUUACUUUCUUGUAACACUUUGCCUAUUUAAUACAAUGAUCUUUCUGCAUUUCCACCAUGUCAAGUGUUUACAUUCCGCAAUCCAUACUAAUGCCUAGAUUAGUAGUGGAAUAGUUGUAGAGCUCAGUAGUGGGGCUGUGUUGCUCUUUUCAUUCACAGGAUCCCUUGUCCGUGUAGGUAGCAAGCCCUACCUAUUCUGCGAGUGCUCUCUGCCUUAGAUCACGGUUAGAGUAAGUGACUAGAUUGGUGAGGCAUGGUGUCUAGGCUUGAUAGUUACCUUUGGGUUGUGUCCUACCCCAUGGAACUAAUUUGGAGAGGCAUUGGUGAGGUUGGACAGCCCUAUACAUCCUUUGUAUUCCACCAUGUUCGUGUAGUUUCAUAGGAGUAGUAGUCGACUAUUUAGGACACCCUUCUCAUCCCUGUCUGAGUCUUUUGCUAAGUCCACCAAAGUGAAUGAAAGAGAAUGCUAGUCCGCAUUCCCACUGUCUCUGGGUUCUAUAGUAAGCGUAUGUAUCCUUUGCUACUAUAAGUCUCGAGCAGUGCUAUCAUAGUAUCCAUUUCGUGCACCUUGGCAUGAGACAUAGGAACAAUCCAUCAAACCAUGCUCCUGUCUCGUUUACCUCCAGGCUAUCUUUACCAUUGUGAUGAGGAUGCGUACCGUUAUCUUUCCCUACCUUCCAUAUCAUUUAUUUGGAAUAGUUGAUAAUAUCUAGAUUAAUUAUAAUCUAAUAUCCAUUCCUCAAUUGCUUCCCUUAGGAAAUACAAUAGGUUGGAAUACUCCUAGGUGAAAUGCUACAAUGGUGUUUCGUGUGCUUGCGAAUUUAUUCUAAAGGCUUAACAAACGUAAUGAGAUCACCAAAUUUAUCCUAGGUGAAAUGCUACAAUCUCAAGGCUCUUGUGGCUUUGAAUGUCUUAUGAGGUCCUCCAACUGCAAUAGUGCAAUUGCCAUGAAGUUCGCAUCAAACGUACGGAUGGUAGCAUUAGGGAGAGACCAGUUCAGAAACGACUUGCGCAUAGGUAAGUUACUAUAGCUACCAUUGCAAUAACCUAAUUGGGAUACAUACCCUUGGCGGGGGUUGGGGGUGGGGUUGGGGGUUGGGGCUCUAAUGAAUUGUUGAGAGCGUGAGUUUUAUGGUAAUUAAAAAAAACAGCAUGUCUAAUCACCUGUCUUCCCCUUUAAUUUCUGCAUUGCUUAUUGUACUUUGAAAUCUGCAAAUCACCUUUCUUAGAAUUCUUUCAUGAUGAUGCUUAUAAGAUUAGAACAUAGGGUGUAAAGGUUUGAUGUGGUAAAGGGUAUGGUAGCACCACAAAGAAUAACCUUAGUGCACAUGUUGACAGAAAUUAUGUAGAUUCUAAUGCAAAAGAUUUAAAUUUCUUAGAUUGGUAACUCUCCAUUCUUAUGGUAUCUUAUCCCUUCAAUGUCUCGGUCACUACGGCCCGCUAGGCCGUAGUUAAAUUUGGUGAUCGGUAACAACAUAGUCACUAGGAUUGAGAUGUUUGUCUAGUAAUGCCUUGUUAGGCUUUACUAGGAUUGUGUGUGCAGGUGCUAUGUAGACAUUGUGGAAAGCAAGAAGCAAUAUGGUGUUCAAGGCGAGAAUACUGAGCUCUCUGGUGGCAGUGAUCCACAGGUUGCUCAUGUAUCUCAAGUAAUGGAAGCCAUUCUCCUUCUGAAGGAGAAGGACGAGAACUUAUGUGGCGGAGAUCAUUAACAAGAUUGCCACGGGGUUGCAGCUGCCUAAGUUUUGGAAUUUUUUUUUGUCUCUGCUGUUUCUGCUGAUGUAUGGCAUUGGGAGUGCUUAGCGUUACUUGAGGUGGAGCUCCAGUUGACAUUUGGUUUGUCGCGCGGUCUGCUGUGCUGCUUUGUUUGCUCUGACUGAUGCAAAACUGGUAAACCCUGUGUUCAUUCGACCUUUUUGUAAACGCUCUGUUGGACAAGUUAUGGCUGCCAAAAAAAGUGUGACUAACAAAUUGAAGCCGCAGUUUUAGCAAAGUUUGACAAUAAUAUAUAUCUAUAACAUGUGAGGUAUAUGGCUAAGAAACUGUGGGCAAACCGCAACAAUUGAAGUGAAUCAAAACAAUAGACUAGGAAUCUAUGAUGAUACGCACUAGUAGAGAAUAGAGUUUCCAUCCAGCGGUUUUAGUUCCGGUCGUUUCUAGACCCGAGAUUAAAGAAGAUUUAGUCCUAGGUCUAAAUUUUAUAGUCUCUCGGAACCCUUUUAUUCCUGGUUGAUGGUUCCAAUCGAGAUAAAAGUGGAGCUUUUACUCCCGGUUAGAGCUACCAACCCAGAUAAAUGAGCACGGAACCUAUUAGUCCCAGCUGGUGGCUUCAACCGGAACUAAAAGAUCCCUUUAAAUCCCGGUUGGAGCAACCGAUUGGGACUAAAUAUUUUUACCGUAGGCAGUCCCUCUCUCUCCAACUUAUCUUCUCUCCUCCUCUCCCUUUCUCCCUUAUCUCCUCUCCUUUUCUCCUUUCUCUCUAGGCACAGGCGUUAUCUCUAGGCGAAGCGCGUGGAGGGGGGCACGAGCGGCCCAAGCCGCACAGCUAGCGCAGGAGCGCACAAACUGGCGGGGCACGCGGUGGCUAGGUCCGCCUCCCGCAGCCGGCCUGCUAAGGGCAUUGGGGCGCCAGCGGCUGUGGCCAAGGCCAUGGCCAGCAGGGGUGCGGCUCCCCACGGCACGCGACCCAAGGUAGGAACACGGUGGGGGGCACGAGCGGCCGGGGCCGCACGGCUGGCGCGGGAGCGCACGGGCCGGCGGGGCAUGCAGAGGCCAGGACCACCUCCCGCGGCUGGCCUGCUAGGGGCGGCAGGGUGCCGGCGGCCGUGGACAAGGCCAUGGAGCGGCGCGUGACCUGGAGGCAUGGCGGCCGUUGCGGCCCAGCCUCCAGUGGGGGUGCAGCUCGCCGCGGCGCGCGGCUGGCGGUAGGAGCGCGACGGUGGGGGGCACGAGUGGCCGGGGACAUGCGGCAGCCGGGCCCGCCUCCCACGGCCGGCCUGCUAGGGGUGGCGGGGCGCCGGCGGCCGUGGCCAAGGCUAUGGAGUGGCGAGCGGCCUACGGCAGGAGCAUGGCGGUGGGAGCACCUGGGGCCACGCGGCUCACUUUUUUUAUUUUUAACCUUUUUUGUCCCGGUUGGUGUUACCAACCGGGACUAAAGAUUAGGACCUUUAGUCCCGAACGAUUAGUCGGGAUUAGAUUUUUGAGACCUGAACUGAAGCCCAGUUUUCCACUAGUGACACCUAACCUCUGGCGUGGCAGCGUUAGGCAUGAAGCAAACUGAUGGGCCAGUAGCGUGUUUGGAACACGCCCAACCGCGCCGCGCCUAAGGUGUGGUGAACAAAAACAUUUGCCACACCUGCAUGGAGCUGCGGAGCACAAAUGAACUAGCAGGCUGCAGCGUCUCCGCAGCACGCCUAACACCAUCGUGCCAAGGCUGCAGUUGCGGCACGGCAAGCUAUGGCAUGCUUAGGCAUGAACCAAACACAGCGUAAGUUUUUGGUCAAAAGUUUAUAGACAAAUGUUAAAAGUUUGACCAAGGCCUUGUUCAAAACAUGAACAUUUUGACGAGCGGAGGGCGUAGGUAGGAUGUUGUUUGCCGCUGUAAUAUGCAGAACCAUACUAGUAUGUCUAUGUGCGUACCAGGUCCGUCUAUGCUGAAGGUAUCUGUUGUAUCGAUGUCGUGGAGGACCUCCGUGUCACCGUCCCUGAGGAAGAGCCUGGCGGGCUGCGUGGUGUUGUUGCAGAUGAGCUCGAAGUCGGGGUCCCGGAAGCAACCAGCACCGAUGCCGAAUGGGUACGUGAAGCUCAGGUUGCCGCACGUCUUGGAACAGCCUGCGAGCGAAGCCGUAGAGGGAAUGGUCCCUCUGCUGGAUCCUUGCGACGCUGCAGACACAAGUAGAAGCAGAGCAGCCAGCAGCAGUGCAUCAAGAGCAAGGAGG